This 430-nucleotide ribosomal RNA is filed under the name uncultured bacterium. Its description in RNAcentral is "bacterial SSU rRNA". It matches the Rfam family "Bacterial small subunit ribosomal RNA", at positions 354 to 796 of the family's 1533-position model. The record is from RNAcentral.
GUGGGGAAUAUUGGGCAAUGGAGGAAACUCUGACCCAGCGACGCCGCGUGCGGGAUGAAGGCCUUCGGGUUGUAAACCGCUUUCAGUAGGGAAGAAGCGAAAGUGACGGUACCUACAAAAGAAGCACCGGCUAACUAUGUGCCAGCAGCCGCGGUAAUACAUAGGGUGCAAGCGUUGUCCGGAAUUAUUGGGCGUAAAGAGCUCGUAGGUCGUUUGUUACGUCGGAUGUGAAAACCUGAGGCUCAACCUCAGGCCUGCAUUCGAUACGGGCAAACUAGAGUUUGGUAGGGGAGACUGGAAUUCCUGGUGUAGCGGUGGAAUGCGCAGAUAUCAGGAGGAACACCAAUGGCGAAGGCAGGUCUCUGGGCCAAUACUGACACUGAGGAGCGAAAGUCUGGGGAGCGAACAGGAUUAGAUACCCGAGUAGUCC